CGCAGGCGCGCUUAAUUCGACCUCUUCCCACAGCUAGCAGCUGGCACACGUGGAACAGCCGCCUUCGACUGUUGCAGUUUGCAUACAUUUUUGCGUUCAACUGCACAGUGGAAGUUCACAAAAAGGCUCAUGGCCCCUGCUUUUAUAAGCCUAUUUAUUAAGGUGAAAUGCCAGUCCACGAGAGGUUAUAGCGGGCAGGAGCUGUCUCUAUUCUCUACACUUCUUUCUUGAGGUGACGGCCAAAGAUGUCCCUGAGCAGGAGGGAUUUUCUUCUCUACAUCUGUGAUUGGAGAUGGUGGCUGAAGACGACUCCGAGCAGGAGGGAUUUUCUUCUACAUCUGUGAUUGGAGAUGGUGGCUGAAGAUGACUGAGCUGGAACGAUGGUGGCAGAAGACGACUCCGAACACAUCUGAGAUUGGAGAUGGUGGCUGAAGACGACUCCGAGCAGGAGGGAUUUUCUUCUACAUCUGUGAUUGGAGAUGGUGGUUGAAGAUGACUGAGCUGGAACGAUGGUGGCAGAAGGUAAUUCAUAACAUGAGUAUUACUCGUCUACGCAUUUGCUAUGCAAUAUGUGUGUGUGUGGUAUUUAAAGUUGUGUUGUGACCACAGCUACAAACCUUAAGUAAAUCUCUUGUGCCAGAAAAAAAUGUCUUUAAUGCAGUCUUUACAAUGAUGACUCACAUAUUUGCCGUUUACCCAUCUGACCAAAAUCUGGGAUGGUG
This is a long non-coding RNA of Clupea harengus (Atlantic herring), 722 nucleotides long. RefSeq lists it as uncharacterized. The transcript has 10 exons. The record is from RefSeq and is a predicted model, not a curated record. Lineage: Eukaryota; Metazoa; Chordata; Actinopteri; Clupeiformes; Clupeidae.